CCUACGGGGAGCUGCAGUGAGGAAUAUUGGUGAAUGGACGAGAGUCUGAACCAGCCAAGUAGCGUGAAGGAUGACUGCCCUAUGGGUUGUAAACUUCUUUUAUAUGGGAAUAAAACGUUCCACGUGUGGGAUUUUGUAUGUACCAUAUGAAUAAGGAUCGGCUAACUCCGUGCCAGCAGCCGCGGUAAUACGGAGGAUCCGAGCGUUAUCCGGAUUUAUUGGGUUUAAAGGGAGCGUAGGUGGAUUGUUAAGUCAGUUGUGAAAGUUUGCGGCUCAACCGUAAAAUUGCAGUUGAAACUGGCAGUCUUGAGUACAGUAGAGGUGGGCGGAAUUCGUGGUGUAGCGGUGAAAUGCUUAGAGAUCACGAAGAACUCCGAUUGCGAAGGCAGUUCACUGGACUGCAACUGACACUGAGGCUCGAAAGUGUGGGUAUCAAACAGGAUUAGAUACCCCUGUAGUC
Molecule: ribosomal RNA, 460 nt
Filed under: uncultured bacterium
Lineage: Bacteria
Description: partial 16S ribosomal RNA
Rfam family: Bacterial small subunit ribosomal RNA
Source: RNAcentral